GUGCUCACUUCAGCAGCACAUACAUUAAAAUUAGAACAAUACAGAGAAAAUAAACAUGGCCCCUGCACAAAGAUGACACACAAAUUUGUGAAGCAUUCCAUAAUUUA
Molecule: small nuclear RNA, 107 nt
Filed under: Castor canadensis (American beaver)
Lineage: Eukaryota; Metazoa; Chordata; Mammalia; Rodentia; Castoridae
Source: RNAcentral